RNAcentral lists this long non-coding RNA (539 nucleotides) under Rattus norvegicus (Norway rat). RNAcentral describes it as "long non-coding RNA NONRATT009424". The record is from RNAcentral. Lineage: Eukaryota; Metazoa; Chordata; Mammalia; Rodentia; Muridae.
AAUGUAUCUGGAGAUUUGGCCCAGGGGGAAGACUUCUAAGCUAGGAUUCAGAAAAUCAACUCUAGAGUCCUAUACAUCGUUCUUGCUUUGUGACCUUGAACAGGUUGGGGGAUCCUGCUCUUUGGCUUUUAUCGGCCCAGCAUCUAAGCCAAUUUCCCAGCUCUUGCUUCUCCUGGACACGCCCACCUGCCCUUGAAGUGGUGAGAGAGAGGGCAUUAAAGACACCUGCCCCUGAAACUGAGAUUCUGAGAGCUAUGUGCCUUGGAUUUCCUCUGCAGAGUUAGGCCCUGAAAAUGGGAAGGUAGUUAGUUCCUCAUUAAGGAAAGUCGGGUCAGGAACUCAAGGCAGGAACCUGGAGGCAGAAAACUGGAGCAGAGACCAUGGAGGAAUGCAGCUCACUGGCUUGCGCCUCAUGACUUACUCAGCCUGAUUCUCCUGCCUGGGAGGUCAUACCAUCCCUGGGUUUCCACAUCAGUCACUAACCAAUAAAACACCCCACAGCUUUGCCUACAGGCCCAUCUGAUAGGGGCAUUCUCAUG